Anarrhichthys ocellatus (wolf-eel) is the source of this 1743-nucleotide RNA transcript. It is a transcript of the gene named branched chain keto acid dehydrogenase E1 subunit beta, with no coding region annotated. The record is from RefSeq and is a predicted model, not a curated record. The transcript has 12 exons. Lineage: Eukaryota; Metazoa; Chordata; Actinopteri; Perciformes; Anarhichadidae.
UGGUUAGUUAUAACAACAGCGAUGGCGGCUGCUGCACGGUUCUUCGUCCGAGGCGCACACUCGAAACUUUCCAUCUCUGGCGUUGGCACCGGCCCUCAGAUCUCUUUUGCCGCCACCCUGCUGAAACUGUCGCCGGGCUCCAGCUCCCGUACAAAAACACAACGGAGACAUGUCGCGCACUUUACCUUCCAGCCUGACCCCGAACCCACACAGUAUGGCCCCACCGAGAAGAUGAACAUGUUCCAGUCGGUUACAAGUGCUUUGGACAACACUCUGGCCAGUGAUCCGACAGCAGUCAUCUUCGGGGAAGAUGUUGCCUUCGGUGGAGUGUUCCGAUGCACAGUGGGUCUGAGAGACAAAUACGGUAAGGACAGAGUCUUCAACACUCCCCUUUGUGAGCAGGGGAUUGUGGGAUUUGGCAUCGGCGCAGCUGUUGCUGGGGCCACAGCCAUUGCUGAGAUCCAGUUUGCCGACUACAUCUAUCCUGCUUUUGACCAGAUCGUCAAUGAAGCAGCCAAGUACCGCUACCGGUCUGGCAACUUGUUCGACUGCGGCAGCCUCACCAUCCGAGCUCCGUGGGGGUGUGUCGGCCACGGGUCACUCUACCACUCCCAGAGCCCCGAGGCCUUCUUCGCCCACUGCCCUGGCAUCAAGGUUGUAAUACCUCGUAGUCCAGUGCAGGCCAAGGGACUGCUCCUCGCCUGCAUCGCUGACCAGAACCCCUGCAUAUUCUUUGAGCCCAAGAUCCUGUACAGAUCAGCAGUGGAGCAGGUUCCCGUGGAGUCCUACACCGUCCCUCUCUCGCAGGCCGAGGUCCUACAGGAAGGAAGUGAUGUCACUCUGGUUGCCUGGGGGACACAGAUCCACGUGAUGAGGGAGGUGGCCAAUAUGGCUCAAGAGAAACUGGGAGUGUCUUGUGAGCUCAUCGAUCUACAGACCGUCCUGCCCUGGGAUGUUGAAACGGUUUGUAAGUCAGUGGUGAAAACCGGACGUUUGCUGAUCAGCCAUGAAGCGCCAAUAACCGGAGGCUUUGCUGCUGAAAUUAGCUCUUCAGUACAGGAGCAGUGCUUCCUGAACCUGGAGGCUCCCAUCAGUAGGGUCUGCGGUUACGACACCCCCUUCCCUCACAUCUUUGAACCCUUCUACAUCCCAGACAAGUGGAAGUGCUUUGACGCAAUUAAGAAGAUGAUCAACUACUGAACCCCCCCUGUCAGAAACAGACCCGGUCUGACUCUUCCAGUGACUGAGAACAAUCCUUGAAGCGCCAAUAAAGCUCACCAAUAGCCAACUUCUGGUAGCCCUGAACUCCACGCUCUCUCCUUUUUCCUCUUCAUUUAUCAAAUCAGUGGAGCGCAUCCAGGAAAGGACACUUUGUUGACCGUCCAAUCAGGAAGCAGUAUCCAGAUGGGCUCCAUGUCCCUCAUUGUCUUCCAGCUAAAAGACUGUUACAGCACCUCUGCAUUUGGGAACUUCAUUGUUUUGCAAGGGGGGAAAAAAUGAUAUAUAUGGUGAAACACUGCUUUGGUAUCAUAUGCACAUAAUUUGACUUCCUCUUAGAUAAGUGUGGGAUACUUCGGGGAGAACUGUCAGCGUAUUUGAUUGAAUUUAUUGUGUUUGACUGCCUCUCUGUGCCGUUACCUUUGCUCUAAUCUUUAUUUAGUUUGACCUUAACUGAACCGCGUUGUAUUAAUGUAGUUUAUCUGUGGUUUUUAUGGAAAAUAAAGUAAUGAGAUUUGGUGAAAA